CCUACGGGGGGCAGCAGUGAGGAAUAUUGGUCAAUGGGCGGGAGCCUGAACCAGCCAAGUCGCGUGAGGGAUGACGGCCCUAUGGGUUGUAAACCUCUUUUGCCGGGGAGCAAAGUGCCGCACGUGUGCGGUUUGGAGAGUACCCGGAGAAAAAGCAUCGGCUAACUCCGUGCCAGCAGCCGCGGUAAUACGGAGGAUGCGAGCGUUAUCCGGAUUUAUUGGGUUUAAAGGGUGCGUAGGCGGUUUGUCAAGUCAGCGGUAAAAAUUCCGGGCUCAACCCGGUCCCGCCGUUGAAACUGGCGAAC
This 305-nucleotide ribosomal RNA is filed under the name uncultured bacterium. RNAcentral's name for it is "bacterial SSU rRNA". It matches the Rfam family "Bacterial small subunit ribosomal RNA", at positions 338 to 641 of the family's 1533-position model. The record is from RNAcentral.